UAAGCAGAGUAUGAAAGCUCACGGCUCAACCGUGAACCCGUAUUCUGAACUGAUUAACUAGAGGGCGAGAGAGGUUUCUAGAAUUUCUUGUGUAGGAGUGAAAUCCGUAGAUAUAAGAAGGAAUACCGAUGGCGUAGGCAGGAAACUGGCUCGCACCUGACACUAAGGCACGAAAGCGUGGGUAGCAAACGGGAUUAGAUACCCCGGUAGUCCACGCCGUAAACGAUGGAUGCUA
This 235-nucleotide ribosomal RNA is filed under the name uncultured Candidatus Saccharibacteria bacterium. RNAcentral's name for it is "partial 16S ribosomal RNA". It matches the Rfam family "Bacterial small subunit ribosomal RNA", at positions 584 to 818 of the family's 1533-position model. Lineage: Bacteria; Candidatus Saccharimonadota. The record is from RNAcentral.